Lontra canadensis (Northern American river otter) is the source of this 183-nucleotide long non-coding RNA. RefSeq lists it as uncharacterized. NCBI's taxonomy places the organism in Eukaryota, Metazoa, Chordata, Mammalia, Carnivora, Mustelidae. The record is from RefSeq and is a predicted model, not a curated record. The transcript has 3 exons.
GUCGGGCGCCCGGCGCAGCGCGUCUCCGGACACCAGAUGCCUUCUCUUUGCCAAACCCACAAGAAGCCAGAGUGCAGGAGCCCAGCAAUGGCAAGCUGGGCGGGGCAAGAAGAUCUGGAUCCCAGAUAACUCUCUCCGUGGCCAUGUGACCACACAUGGACAUCGAUAUGAAGACAGCUAGAA